RNAcentral lists this transfer RNA (86 nucleotides) under Aquimarina algicola. RNAcentral's name for it is "Flavobacteriaceae bacterium M625 tRNA-Ser". It matches the Rfam family "tRNA". Rfam says of the family: Transfer RNA (tRNA) molecules are approximately 80 nucleotides in length. Their secondary structure includes four short double-helical elements and three loops (D, anti-codon, and T loops). Further hydrogen bonds mediate the characteristic L-shaped molecular structure. tRNAs have two regions of fundamental functional importance: the anti-codon, which is responsible for specific mRNA codon recognition, and the 3' end, to which the tRNAs corresponding amino acid is attached (by aminoacyl-tRNA synthetases). tRNAs cope with the degeneracy of the genetic code in two manners: having more than one tRNA (with a specific anti-codon) for a particular amino acid; and 'wobble' base-pairing, i.e. permitting non-standard base-pairing at the 3rd anti-codon position. The record is from RNAcentral. Lineage: Bacteria; Pseudomonadati; Bacteroidota; Flavobacteriia; Flavobacteriales; Flavobacteriaceae.
GGAGGAAGUCCGGUUGGUCGAGGAAACUGUCUUGAAAACAGUCGAGUGUAAUAGCUUCGGGGGUUCGAUUCCCUCUUCCUCCGCAA